GAUGAACGCUGGCGGCGUGCCUAAUACAUGCAAGUCGAGCGAACAGACGAGGAGCUUGCUCCUCUGACGUUAGCGGCGGACGGGUGAGUAACACGUGGAUAACCUACCUAUAAGACUGGGAUAACUUCGGGAAACCGGAGCUAAUACCGGAUAAUAUAUUGAACCGCAGGGUUCAAUAGUGAAAGACGGUUUUGCUGUCACUUGUAGAUGGAUCCGCGCCGCAUUAGCUAGUUGGUAAGGUAACGGCUUACCAAGGCAACCAUGCGUAGCCGACCUGAGAGGGUGAUCGGCCACACUGGAACUGGGACACGGUCCAGACUCCUACGGGAGGCAGCAGUCGGGAAUCUUCCGCAAUGGGCGAAAGCCUGACGGAGCAACGCCGCGUGAGUGAUGAAGGUCUUCGGAUCGUAAAACUCUGUUAUUAGGGAAGAACAAAUGUGUAAGUAACUAUGCACGUCUUGACGGUACCUAAUCAGAAAGCCACGGCUAACUACGUG
Molecule: ribosomal RNA, 497 nt
Filed under: uncultured bacterium
Lineage: Bacteria
Description: partial 16S ribosomal RNA
Rfam family: Bacterial small subunit ribosomal RNA
Source: RNAcentral